This 292-nucleotide ribosomal RNA is filed under the name uncultured bacterium. RNAcentral describes it as "partial 16S ribosomal RNA". It matches the Rfam family "Bacterial small subunit ribosomal RNA", at positions 505 to 796 of the family's 1533-position model. The record is from RNAcentral.
GUGUCAGCAGCCGCGGUAAUACGUAGGGGGCAAGCGUUGUCCGGAUUUAUUGGGCGUAAAGAGCGUGUAGGCGGCCAGACAGGUCCGUUGUGAAAACUCGAGGCUCAACCUCGAGACGCCGAUGGAAACCAUCUAACUAGAGUCCGGAAGAGGAGAGUGGAAUUCCUGGUGUAGCGGUGAAAUGCGCAGAUAUCAGGAAGAACACCCGUGGCUAAGGCGGCUCUCUAGUACGGUACUGACGCUGAGACGCGAAAGCGGGGGGAGCGACCAGGAUUAGAAACCCCCGUAGUCC